Molecule: long non-coding RNA, 413 nt
Filed under: Mytilus galloprovincialis (Mediterranean mussel)
Lineage: Eukaryota; Metazoa; Mollusca; Bivalvia; Mytilida; Mytilidae
Source: RNAcentral
GUAGAAAAAAAUUGCCAAUUCCGGUUUACAAAAGGUCACUUCCGGUUGGAUUUUUCAAGGUCACAUUGCUUGCAACCUUUUGCCAAAAGUCCCAUGGCUUUAUCAUGUAUAUAUAAGAGGAAAAAGCAAAGGUCAAAAUCUAGAACUUUAAAUUUACCUAUGACCUUGAGCUCAAUUUCAAGGUCAUCAACCAAGGACCUCAAAUCAAAAGACUCUACGCCUCUACUUUAUAUUGUUAAUGAGUUAUAUAACAAUACAACUAAUAUUAGAUAUAAAAGGGGGCAAAACUCGCAUUAAUUGUUACGUACCCUUUUAAGUAAAAUUUACAUGUUACGACAUGUCGCAACUAACAAUUGUCUGGAAAUAAUAUGUCGAUAUCUUGUAUGAUUUCUGAAAAUAAAACAUAACAAGCC